AAUUCGAAUGUGGAUGUGGAUACGGUCGGAGUUUAUCCGCCCCGUUUUCAGCCGUACCUGUCCUCAAUCAUCCAUUCGCUGUGCACCCUUUCGCAUCGUCCCAGUCCCGGCAGUCUCCAGUGAGGUGGGUUCGGGGGAGGGAGCCGAGGAGGGUGGAGAAGACAGCGGGUGAGGGGGAGGAGGGGAGAGAGGAGGCAGCCCUUUAGAAGAAGGCGAGCUUGGCGGCGGAGGGGAGGAAGGGGCGACAGAGGAGGUGGAGGAUGGCAGAGUUUGGCAGGGGGGAUGGGAGAAUGGCAGGGUGGGUCCGUUCAAAACGGGCUGAGCCCCAAAGCAUCUCCCACCUCCGGAGCCAAAGUAGGCCUUACUCAAGAGGAGGUGAGGCGGCGAAAACGAGAGGACGUGGGAGGGGAGAGGGAGAACCUUGCCGUACGUAGGCAUGGCUUCCAGUGACUUAUAAUCUAAGAUGCUAGGGAUAUUCUUACCUCAAGAUGGAGGAAAGACCGUCAAAGUAAUGGUGGAGAUCGGGAUCAUGAUCGAGGCGGAGGCCGCGGUGGCGAUGAUAAUAGAAUUGGGCGUUGCCUCCAUGCCGGAGUUGCUGGCGACGCUGAUCCCCGCCGCGCAGAGGCUGGCCCAGCCACCCAUUCCCUAACGUGAUCCUCCAUCUUCUCAUGCCCACAAUUGGUCGAUCGGUAAAGCCUAACGCCUGCCUCCUACUCGCUUGAGGAAGGAUGUUUGAUCGUUGGCCUGCUGGAUUCCUCCAACUCUUACUGUCCUCUUGAACCAGCACCGUUGAAUACUGAAGAUUGAGAGGAUUAAUCUGGAUCAGCACCAAUGAAUGCAAAUCUCUAGCUCCUCGAUGGUCGACCCCUAAUUCCGACGAGCUCGAUGAAGAAUAGUUGGAAGCACAAGAGAAGAUGAAUCCCUUCGGGUGAUGGCUAGCGGUUGAUCGUUGCUAGUGUUUGAAAGGGGCUUGAUCUCCUUUAAAUAAGGCCAGAGGGGAGGAGUCCAACUCCUCUCCAGCUUUAUCUUUCAUUGGGAUUUCGAGAAGAAGAAGACUCCCGAUGUGAGUCAACCAAUUCCCCCUCCCAGAUAGCAUGUGCAUGGGACGUGCUAACAAUUUUUUCUUUGUUCUUUUUUUUUUAUUAUUGUUUCUAUUAUGGGCCACUUAUACUUACCAGGCUGGUCAAGUGGACCACGCCUACUAUAUUAUAAAGCUUGGAUGGGUCGGGUUGCCACAGUUACAUUUGUAUUAUAUUCUCUUUGAUACCAUAUCAGCUAGACAAAUCAUUUUAUUCUAAAUUAGAGUUGGGGCAUGCAUAACUCAUGUGAGGGAAAGCAUGGAUUGCU
This is a non-coding RNA of Elaeis guineensis (African oil palm), 1347 nucleotides long. Lineage: Eukaryota; Viridiplantae; Streptophyta; Magnoliopsida; Arecales; Arecaceae. The record is from RefSeq and is a predicted model, not a curated record.